UUCCAACUACCAAUCGGAGCACGUUUUCCCAAUACGACCUCAAAAUCUCAAUUAAUACAAUACCGAAAUUUCCACAACAAAUUCUUCACCAAAAAAUGAACCAAACGACGUCCAAUUGACCUCAAAUUUUGCAAGCAAGCCAACAAUAAUAUAACAGAGCAUUUGAAGCUUAUGAAACGCAAAAUGAAGCACUAAUUCUUAAAACAAUUAAGCGGGUCGUUACACAUAUACUGGUAAAACCCCUAGUUUCUUCUCUGAUGAUAGUAUUAUAUUGCAAUCAUGUCCAACGACCCAAGGUAAUUGAAUCUGCAAUCUAAGUUAAUCAGCUUCAUAGUUGUAUUCUAUCUCCAACAUCACACUUAACAUAUUUUACUGUAACUAGGAUCUCCUUCUGUAAAUUUGUAUGAAACACCUGUAAUGUCAACUGUUGGUGUGUAUCCAUAACUACAUUACUCUGCAUUCCUCUGUGUAGAACAUCCAUAUUUUUCGUGACGAAUUAGCCAUAGUCUUUUGAUGCCCCAAUAUUCUUCUGUAUAACUCAAUGUUGUCACCUUCUUGAAAUGGUUUCAUAAGAGCUAUUACUGAAUAGUGAUUUCUCCCGUCAAGAUCAAACAAUCUUUCAAAAGCAUUUUGAGUAUUGACUGAUUUUAUGUUCUAGAAUAAUGACUUCAAUCAUUGAGAAACAUUGUUUUUAGAUUUAUUAUACCUUGUUGUUACUCCCAAAGGAGGAACACUUGUAUACCUUGAUACUUUAUGUUUUUUUCCUGUCUGCUAGGUAUGAUCAUAUUUUCUAGGAGAUAGAUCACCUUGCUUCAUAUUAACCUCCAAAGCCUCUUCUUUAUGUUCCUUAUCUAUUGUUCGUAUAUGUCUCUCCUGAAUAGGAUCACUACCUUCAUUGGAUAUUGUAUUAGAUUCUGAAAACUCCAUUAUUGAUUGUGAUAUGUCUUUUAGCACAUCUGUUGUGGAACCAGUCUCCUAAUUGUCCUCUUGUCACUGUGUAUGCCUGGAUCCAGAUUGCUUUUAUCCUUUUCCACUUCAACUUCUUGGUGUUAUGCUGUCAAUAUUAUCUUUUUAUGUGUCGUCUACUGCCUCUACCUCUUGACUACUACUCCGUCCGUCCUAAUUUGUUUAAAGGUUGACCAGUUUGGGGAGUCAAACAACUCUUUCUUUGACUACGAUUUUCUCCAACUCUUUUCAAAUAUUGUGAAUUACUAAAUAUGUAGACUUACAGUACUUUUUAUGUAGUUUUCAAAUAUGUAAUUUUAUUAUAAAAUACUCGAAGAAUCUAUGUUUAAAAUUAAGUCAAAGAAAAGUUGUUCGACUCUCCAAACUGGUCAACCUUAAAAUAAAUUGGGAUGGAGGGAGUAAAUAUCAAUAAACUCACCCUGAUUCGUAUCCUCCUCGUGUUGAUGCAUAAUCUCCUUUGGAUCACUGAUUUGUUGCUGAGUUUUGCCAAAAGAGGCGCCAACCCAAGCCUUAGCUGACUCCCUCUCAUCAGGCACCUUUGUUAUUUCUUUGUUGUGUGAUUCAGGAUGCAAGAUAUGGCAAUCAACCUCAGUAUGGCCUUGCAGUUUGCAAUUUUGACAGUAACUUGGUCGGUCUAGUUUGAUUCUUUGUAGCCAUAUCAACCUAGGGGCUCACCAACAACAGUUGCAAGAGAGAAUAUGGAUUCUUUGACAAAAUAAUUUGGCGGCAAAUAUGAAAAGGAAAUCCAUGCAAUUGCGUAGAUGUUGUUUCUUUAUCAAGAUCAAACAAAGGAUUCAACUUUAAUGACGUAUCUGAUACAACCAUUCUUUCAUUAUGAUAUAGAAAGCUGGCUUGGACAAUAACCUCACAUAAUCUUCUAGCAACGUGAGCCUUAUUAAGACAUAUCUAUUACGUAUCAACCCUAUGUUGCAUUCACCUUUGAGCUCGCAUUGUGUACGUAAGAAUUUAUGUAAAUCUUUGACGUCUUACCAUCCAUAAGAGAACUUUAGAACAACGGCAUACUGGCCACCCUUGAAAGAGUGCGUAAUAGCUCACUGAUCGAGCGCUUUUGCACCGAAGAUGAACAGGGCUAAGCGAUCUGCCGAAGCUGUGGGAUGUCAAAAUACAUCGGCAGGGAUAUUUGAAUUGGACCUAGUCAGCCCGAACCAUUUUGCGAUUCUAGAGGACCCUGAACAAGAAGAGGCAAAGAUGCCAGAUCUGGACACUGCUGAACCGGAAGAGAUUGCUUAGGAUGAGUGUUUGGGUAACAAGUAUUCCCUGUUGAUCACUGCCUGUGAGAAAAAUAUCAUCGGUUCGGGCGGUAAGGCCCUUGGUAAGCUCGGGUUAGCCUGUCAGGGUGAAUGCAGGUAAUGUGAUCUCUUCUUCCUCCCAUACGACCAUUAGCUCACCACGUAAGUACAUUAAUGGUUUAAGAGGUAACAGUUUGAAUAUACAUGCAUAACUAGUCGAUGAAGUUGGUAUUGCUAGAGGUUGUCCACUGGCCAUAGUGUCCCUGGACAAUGAUCUCUGUUAGGGUUUUAGUGUGCGCAGAAACUAUGAUUUAGCGAGAAUUUCUUAUACCACUUUUUCUGGGCAA
Molecule: long non-coding RNA, 2563 nt
Organism: Lycium barbarum (goji berry)
Lineage: Eukaryota; Viridiplantae; Streptophyta; Magnoliopsida; Solanales; Solanaceae
Exons: 3
Source: RefSeq, a predicted model, not a curated record